RNAcentral lists this ribosomal RNA (985 nucleotides) under Escherichia coli. RNAcentral describes it as "bacterial LSU rRNA". It matches the Rfam family "Bacterial large subunit ribosomal RNA", at positions 647 to 1634 of the family's 2925-position model. Lineage: Bacteria; Pseudomonadati; Pseudomonadota; Gammaproteobacteria; Enterobacterales; Enterobacteriaceae. The record is from RNAcentral.
UAACCGAAUAGGGGAGCCGAAGGGAAACCGAGUCUUAACUGGGCGUUAAGUUGCAGGGUAUAGACCCGAAACCCGGUGAUCUAGCCAUGGGCAGGUUGAAGGUUGGGUAACACUAACUGGAGGACCGAACCGACUAAUGUUGAAAAAUUAGCGGAUGACUUGUGGCUGGGGGGGAAAGGCCAAUCAAACCGGGAGAUAGCUGGUUCUCCCCGAAAGCUAUUUAGGUAGCGCCUCGUGAAUUCAUCUCCGGGGGUAGAGCACUGUUUCGGCAAGGGGGUCAUCCCGACUUACCAACCCGAUGCAAACUGCGAAUACCGGAGAAUGUUAUCACGGGAGACACACGGCGGGUGCUAACGUCCGUCGUGAAGAGGGAAACAACCCAGACCGCCAGCUAAGGUCCCAAAGUCAUGGUUAAGUGGGAAACGAUGUGGGAAGGCCCAGACAGCCAGGAUGUUGGCUUAGAAGCAGCCAUCAUUUAAAGAAAGCGUAAUAGCUCACUGGUCGAGUCGGCCUGCGCGGAAGAUGUAACGGGGCUAAACCAUGCACCGAAGCUGCGGCAGCGACGCUGAUGCGUUGUUGGGUAGGGGAGCGUUCUGUAAGCCUGUGAAGGUGUACUGUGAGGUAUGCUGGAGGUAUCAGAAGUGCGAAUGCUGACAUAAGUAACGAUAAAGCGGGUGAAAAGCCCGCUCGCCGGAAGACCAAGGGUUCCUGUCCAACGUUAAUCGGGGCAGGGUGAGUCGACCCCUAAGGCGAGGCCGAAAGGCGUAGUCGAUGGGAAACAGGUUAAUAUUCCUGUACUUGGUGUUACUGCGAAGGGGGGACGGAGAAGGCUAUGUUGGCCGGGCGACGGUUGUCCCGGUUUAAGCGUGUAGGCUGGUUUUCCAGGCAAAUCCGGAAAAUCAAGGCUGAGGCGUGAUGACGAGGCACUACGGUGCUGAAGCAACAAAUGCCCUGCUUCCAGGAAAAGCCUCUAAGCAUCAGGUAA